CGGACGAACGCUGGCGGCGUGGAUUAGGCAUGCAAGUCGGACGGUAGGGCUUUAUCGUAAGAUAGAGUUUAAGAGUGGCGAACGGGUGAGUAACACGUAGGAAUCUACCCUUAAGACGGGGACAACCCAGGGAAACUUGGGCUAAUACCGGAUGAGAGUGCGAGAGAUUGCAUUUAAAAGGAUGGCGAAAGUUGUCGCUUAGGGAUGAGCCUGCGGUCUAUUAGUUAGUUGGUGAGGUAAGAGCUCACCAAGGCGAUGAUAGAUAGGCGGCCUUAACGGGUGGUCCCCCACACUGGUACUGAGACACGGACCAGACUCCUACGGGAGGCAGCAGUGAGGAAUAUUGGUCAAUGGGCGGAAGCCUGAACCAGCCAUGCCGCGUGCAGGAUGACGGCCCUACGGGUUGUAAACUGUCCGUUUUCCCCGGGGCGAACUAACCCCCUCGCGAGGGGGGAUGCCGGUACCGGGGGAAUAAGGAUCGGCUAACUCCGUG
RNAcentral lists this ribosomal RNA (493 nucleotides) under uncultured bacterium. Its description in RNAcentral is "bacterial SSU rRNA". It matches the Rfam family "Bacterial small subunit ribosomal RNA", at positions 27 to 507 of the family's 1533-position model. The record is from RNAcentral.